AGUCGAGCGGCAGCGGGAAGUAGCUUGCUACUUUGCCGGCGAGCGGCGGACGGGUGAGUAAUGUCUGGGGAUCUGCCCGAUGGAGGGGGAUAACUACUGGAAACGGUAGCUAAUACCGCAUAACGUCGCAAGACCAAAGUGGGGGACCUUCGGGCCUCACACCAUCGGAUGAACCCAGAUGGGAUUAGCUAGUAGGUGGGGUAACGGCUCACCUAGGCGACGAUCCCUAGCUGGUCUGAGAGGAUGACCAGCCACACUGGAACUGAGACACGGUCCAGACUCCUACGGGAGGCAGCAGUGGGGAAUAUUGCACAAUGGGCGCAAGCCUGAUGCAGCCAUGCCGCGUGUAUGAAGAAGGCCUUCGGGUUGUAAAGUACUUUCAGCGGGGAGGAAGGGAUGGAGCUUAAUACGCUCUGUCAUUGACGUUACCCGCAGAAGAAGCACCGGCUAACUCCGUGCCAGCAGCCGCGGUAAUACGGAGGGUGCAAGCGUUAAUCGGAAUUACUGGGCGUAAAGCGCACGCAGGCGGUCUGUUAAGUCAGAUGUGAAAUCCCCGGGCUCAACCUGGGAACUGCAUUUGAAACUGGCAGGCUAGAGUCUUGUAGAGGGGGGUAGAAUUCCAGGUGUAGCGGUGAAAUGCGUAGAGAUCUGGAAGAAUACCG
RNAcentral lists this ribosomal RNA (662 nucleotides) under uncultured bacterium. RNAcentral's name for it is "bacterial SSU rRNA". It matches the Rfam family "Bacterial small subunit ribosomal RNA", at positions 60 to 711 of the family's 1533-position model. The record is from RNAcentral.